Molecule: non-coding RNA, 3318 nt
Organism: Tetranychus urticae (two-spotted spider mite)
Lineage: Eukaryota; Metazoa; Arthropoda; Arachnida; Trombidiformes; Tetranychidae
Source: RefSeq, a predicted model, not a curated record
AUUUUUUUUUAAUUUGGUUUAAUUUACAGUUGAUUUUAGUGUUUAAAGUGGUUACUGUUUAUUAAAGCUCAAUUUAUUCUUCAUCUCAGGACGAUAAGAUGAUGAUGAGUGAAAAUAAGUGAAAGAUGAUCAAGGGAAUAUAUAAGAUGUUGAUGAGGAGGAAGAAAAGUAAGAAGACCAUAAACAUUCUGAUCGUACCUCAAGGCAAUUUGUUAUAAUACUAACCUCACUAUCAUCACUUUCUCCCAUGAGAAAUCAUUUUGGGUAAAGAUUUGUAUUAAAUGUAAAAAGCAGUUGAACCAAGAAAAAUUUGGAAUUAAAUGAAAGAAUGAGAGAAAAUCAUUGAAAAAAGUACAAUGAAAUGAAAAGAGAAUGAAAUCUGUAUGUAUUAUUAUUGUUUGGCUACUUCAAUUCUUGGACAAUCAACUAUUAUUAUUGCUAUUCUUAUAAAGUUGGCAGAUUACACUCUCUCCAUCAUUAAGAUUCUGGUGAUGAAAUUUUGCCUGGUUUUUUCAUUUACUAUCGCCUGAAUUUGCUAAAUAUUGACAACCCUUAAUGGUACAUUUUAUUUUAUCAACAUCUCGAGUCUCGUGUAAUUUUCACCAUUAUUUACCAACUUUCAACAAACAUUACAUAAAACAAUCUCAAAAUUUAACCAUUUUACCAUCUUGUUAGUCACAUAGACAGCAUAAAAGGCUUAAUGGAAGACUUUCCCUAUUGUUUUACACAUUUUAAUAAUCUUGACUCAACAUCCGAUUGAUACAACAAACUCAACUUUUCCCUGAACUGUUUUCUGCCACCGUUUUCCCUUUGAAUCACUUUUGUUUUGGGUUAAUUUUGGAAAGCGAAACAAGAUCGGAUUCCAUUGAUUGAACUGAUGAAAUGUGAAAAUAAUUUGACGGUAAAGUACAUUGGAUCGUUGCUCCCUCUUCAUCCAUCUUUAAAUCAGCAUGUAAAGCAUGAGAGUCAUCCUAUUGAGUUCUGGUUAACCUUGAAGAGCUGUCAGUGGAUGAUGAAGAUGAUGAAAGUGUAGGAGGCAGUAAAGGAUGAGGAAUGAUGAGAUUCGAAUAAACUUAUUCAUUCUUCUCUCCCUUCCAGAAACGAGACUUUCUUUGGAAACCAUCAAAGAUUAACUUUGUUUAUAGACAAUAAUAUUCAUCCUCUUUUACCAAAAGUUUAAAAAUUAUCAUCAUUAUUAAUGUAGGCGAAUAAAGGAAACCUAAAAUAAACAAACAUCUUCUCAUCUUUCAUCGUCUUCAUCAUCAUCCUGAUCGCACUCACACACACACACACAAAUAUAUAUACACAUAUAAUCACUCAAGCCAUGUUGAUUUACAUUGACCAUUCACUCAAAAUUCAAAUUGAACUCAAGUUAACCGCUGAAACCAUCAAAAUGGAUUAUAAUAAUCAAUUGUGAUUAAAUUUGCCUUUUUUCACAUCAUUCAAUUGAAAAUAAUCAUUCUCUUGGUGAACUAGAGAGAAGCAAAUUUCAUUGUAUUAUUAUUUUGAAGGCGAUAAUGAUCAACUCUUGCAUAGUAGCUGUUCACUCUACCCGAAAAGAUGGAAAAUUGAUACUGCUAUUGAAUCGCAUGAAAAAAAGGAUAAUAUCAAGCUCAUGCUAUUGUCUUCUUUACUGUGAAGAUAAUUCAUUUUAUUUCAUUUUUUUCAAUGCAAAAGUGUUGCUUGACUGGUUGGCUGAUUAAACGGCAGACUUUUCAUCUUGAAUGACGAUCCUGGUGAUGAUGCUGUUAUUGUUGUUUGACUAGGAUGGCGAUCAAGAAAAGAUGAUCAAAAACGAUGAUGAGGAUGGGAAUUCAUUGCAUUUAAAAAUAUUGAUGUUCAUUCCUUUUCUUUCAUCCUUUUCAUCAUCAUCUUCAAGUUAACUUUUCAUUUGAUUGAUAACCUUACAUUCAAUUUUUUGCCUUCUAUUUUCAUCUCAAUGUUGACAUGAGGAUAGGAAAUGAAAACAAAAAAACAUGAUGAUAAUUCAUUGUGAUGACCAGAGAGAAAAGGCAACAAUCAAGACUAACACCGAGUCUGAUGAAAGUUGAGUGAAAAUUGAAUUUUUUCUCCACAAGAAAAUUAUAUUUCUCUGAAGGCAAAAAUUAAUGGUUAUCUCAAUCAAAUGAUUACCUUGACAUAUGUUUUAAUAUUGCCAUUACAAAUGGAUUUAAAACAACACAUCAAAUAUCAAUAAGCUUUGAUACAUCUGAAAAGCCAAUUGUUGAGUGAAACUUGAAAAUGAUAGGAUGAUGGGAAUGAAAAGAGUAGAGGAAAUGAUGAACAUUUAUCUUUCCAUUUUUCGCACUCGUUUCAUUAUUGUUAAAUAUUCAUUACAGAUUCAUAGACGUUGGAGGUAAAAAUUGAAUUAACUUCAAGUCACGCAGGUAACAUUAAUCGUACCUUUGGAAUCGCAAAUUUACAAGCAACUUUACUGGUGAUGACAACUCGAUAAUACAAUUAACCUGUCCAUUCAUCAAGAGCAUAAUUGAAACCCAAAGCAACACUUGGAAACAAUGAAACAACAAAAAAACAGUGACAAUUGUGACACCAAAAAACAACAGCAACAAACGCGUUCAAUUGUGUUGGAAACAAAAAGGCGAAAAUAAACUGAAAAAAAAAGAUUCACAAAAAAUGGUUAAUUAUUAAUAGCAAUUACAGAUUGUAUCUUUGAUUGUACCACCAUUAAGGUCAUUUCCGUUCGUCCUUAAUCAUUACCAUCUAACAGCGGAAAUAAAUUUCAACUCAAAUCAUUGUGAUUUAAUAAUUUUCAUUAAAUCAUUUUGAUUACAAGUUGAUGUUAACUUGAUGACAAAGUGUUUAGGAAAAGGCAGAGAGAAGCCUUUUUCCAGCAAUCGAUUUAAUCUUAUUAAUCAAUUAGUUGUUGGUUAAUUAAGCCUAAACUUGCAGUUUAAACAUAAUUUUUAACUUUACACUGUUUAGCACAAUUCAUGUAACCAUCAAAGUACAUUAAUCUCAACAAUUUGCAAUUGCUUUAAUCAUUAAUUGCCAGGUUGAGGAGAAGCAAAAAAAUGAGAUAAAAUACAAAUUUGAAGCCAUUAAUCAAAAGGAAACUUCAUAAACUCAAAGGUGAUUCCAUCACUCCCAAUGAGCCUUGAAAUGAAAUUUCAAAGUUAUGAUAUCAUUGAGAUUGUUCAUUUGUUUUUGUUCAGUUUUUUGGGCUUUUCUCGUUCCAUUGUGUUUAUAACCUGGUUUGUGUGUGUUUCUUGUGUACAGACUGAAGAGCAUUUUAAGGCAACAAUUUAUAAAUUGUUGACAACCUACACUUGGACUGGGUUGAACAGGCAAUUCAUAUUA